Acanthosepion pharaonis is the source of this 108-nucleotide non-coding RNA. The record is from the annotation of a GenBank genome assembly. NCBI's taxonomy places the organism in Eukaryota, Metazoa, Mollusca, Cephalopoda, Sepiida, Sepiidae.
GCCACAUCACAUUGAAAUACCGAUUCCUGUACAAUCACUGAAGUUAAGCAACGUGGAGCCUGGUCAGUACCUAUGUGGCUGACCGCUUGGGAAUACCAGGUGUUGUAA